UCAGAACGAACGCUGGCGGCACGCCUAACACAUGCAAGUCGAGCGCUACCUUCGGGUGGAGCGGCGGACGGGUUAGUAACGCGUGGGAACAUACCCUUUUCUACGGAAUAGCCUCGGGAAACUGAGAGUAAUACCGUAUACGCCCUUCGGGGGAAAGAUUUAUCGGAGAAGGAUUGGCCCGCGUUAGAUUAGAUAGUUGGUGGGGUAAUGGCCUACCAAGUCUACGAUCUAUAGCUGGUUUGAGAGGAUGAUCAGCAACACUGGGACUGAGACACGGCCCAGACUCCUACGGGAGGCAGCAGUGGGGAAUCUUAGACAAUGGGCGCAAGCCUGAUCUAGCGAUGCCGCGUGAGUGACGAAGGUCUUAGGAUCGUAAAGCUCUUUCGCCAAGGAUGAUAAUGACAGUACUUGGUAAAGAAACCCCGGCUAACUCCGUGCCAGCAGCCGCGGUAAUACGGAGGGGGUUAGCGUUGUUCGGAAUUACUGGGCGUAAAGCGCACGUAGGCGGACUAUUAAGUUAGAGGUGAAAUCCCGGGGCUCAACCCCGGAACUGCCUUUAAUACUGGUAGUCUAGAGUUCGAGAGAGGUAAGUGGAAUUCCGAGUGUAGAGGUGAAAUUCGUAGAUAUUCGGAGGAACACCAGUGGCGAAGGCGGCUUACUGGCUCGAUACUGACGCUGAGGUGCGAAAGUGUGGGGAGCAAACAGGAUUAGAUACCCUGGUAGUCCACACCGUAAACGAUGAAUGCCAGACGUCAGGGGGCUUGCCCUUUGGUGUCACACCUAACGGAUUAAGC
This 794-nucleotide ribosomal RNA is filed under the name uncultured Loktanella sp. RNAcentral's name for it is "bacterial SSU rRNA". It matches the Rfam family "Bacterial small subunit ribosomal RNA", at positions 24 to 865 of the family's 1533-position model. The record is from RNAcentral. Lineage: Bacteria; Pseudomonadati; Pseudomonadota; Alphaproteobacteria; Rhodobacterales; Roseobacteraceae.